UCGGUUAUUUCGGUUUUCUUGCUCACCCCUACCUCAAAGUAGUUCACUUAGGGUUUGUUUAUUUGUGCGUUUCGCCUCAAAAUUCUCAAAAAGAAAGAAAGAAACAUGAAUCAGGAACAAGAGCUUGCUGCAGCAGAAGGAUUCGUUAGGCGUUACUUCGAGCUGCUUGACACAAAUCCGGCUGAAUCAGCUUCUGUGUUUGAUGAUGAAUCAUCCGAGUUUUUUUAUGAUAGGAUUAAGGUAGUAACCAGUUUUAACAUUGUUGGGAAGCUAAGUGAGCUUUCAUCUAAGGGGUGCAGUCACAACAUCACAACCAUGGAUUCUAUGUUGUGUGAAAUGGAGGACCGCGGUACACUUAGUCUCCGUCAACGGACGUCUCAAAGUCAUCAGAUUUGAUGAUGAUGAUGAUGAUGAUGAUGAUGAUGAUGAUGAUGAUCUUGUGUUCAGUCAGAGAAGAAGAUUCAUCAUCAAAUAUGAUGUAAAGCCCCCAAGUGGAUCAUAUAACUCAUGUGGUUUAAAAAAACGGUUGAGUCAUGCACGUCAAGGCGAGGCACCUAAAAACGAGUUUGAGGGCACCUCAGGGGUUUGUUGAUGUGUGUUUCCUUUCAUUGGCGUAGUGGGUUAUGUUUCAUUCCGCUGAUUUCUUUGUUUUCGGUUUCAUUUUCUAAGCCUAUAAAAAUGCAACUUUUAUUAUUGAA
Helianthus annuus (common sunflower) is the source of this 698-nucleotide long non-coding RNA. RefSeq lists it as uncharacterized. NCBI's taxonomy places the organism in Eukaryota, Viridiplantae, Streptophyta, Magnoliopsida, Asterales, Asteraceae. The transcript is spliced from 2 exons. The record is from RefSeq and is a predicted model, not a curated record.